Schizosaccharomyces pombe (fission yeast) is the source of this 457-nucleotide non-coding RNA. The record is from the annotation of a GenBank genome assembly. Lineage: Eukaryota; Fungi; Ascomycota; Schizosaccharomycetes; Schizosaccharomycetales; Schizosaccharomycetaceae.
CAAAUAAUAAAUAAUAAAGCAAGAUUAAAAGCAAGAAAUACAAUUGAAAAAUCGUAAAUAUAUACAGAGAUUUUGUCUUCGGUAUGGCCUAUUCCACAUUGAAAAUUUCGCAACCCGGUAUGGUGGCUACAAUAUUAGUUACAUUCAAAGUGUAUUUGUUGAAUCUUUUGUGCACAGUAUAUGGAUCUGAAAUUUCAUUCUCAUUCACUAGAGGCAUCAUUGGUAAUAUUGAAUCCCUGGCAUGUUAUAUUGGGCUUUGUUUUUUUGUUUAUGGUAUGAAGGGAUAGGAUUAAAGGCUUCGUUCAAAAAAUAUAUCUAAUGUACAGUAGGUAUUCUGCAAUCAAAUUUUGAGUUUGUAGUCUGGUGAAUUUAUCGCACCAUCUAAUUGAGAUCGACAAUUAUCAAGGGAGCUUUCACAUAGAGUAUUAAGAAGCACUAGAGAUAUGGGUCAAAGCAU